CUACGGGAGGCAGCAGUGGGGAAUAUUGCACAAUGGGGGAAACCCUGAUGCAGCCAUGCCGCGUGUGUGAAGAAGGCCUUCGGGUUGUAAAGCACUUUCAGCGAGGAGGAAAGGGUGGCGGCUAAUACGUGUCAACUGUGACGUUACUCGCAGAAGAAGCACCGGCUAACUCCGUGCCAGCAGCCGCGGUAAUGAG
Molecule: ribosomal RNA, 196 nt
Filed under: Aeromonas sp. C10S16
Lineage: Bacteria; Pseudomonadati; Pseudomonadota; Gammaproteobacteria; Aeromonadales; Aeromonadaceae
Description: partial 16S ribosomal RNA
Rfam family: Bacterial small subunit ribosomal RNA
Source: RNAcentral